CAGUAGCCGCGGUAAUACGUAGGUCCCGAGCGUUGUCCGGAUUUAUUGGGCGUAAAGCGAGCGCAGGCGGUUAGAUAAGUCUGAAGUUAAAGGCUGUGGCUUAACCAUAGUACGCUUUGGAAACUGUUUAACUUGAGUGCAGAAGGGGAGAGUGGAAUUCCAUGUGUAGCGGUGAAAUGCGUAGAUAUAUGGAGGAACACCGGUGGCGAAAGCGGCUCUCUGGCUUGUAACUGACGCUGAGGCUCGAAAGCGUGGGGAGCAAACAGGAUUAGAUACCCGGGUAGUCCCUGUCUCUUAUACA
Molecule: ribosomal RNA, 301 nt
Filed under: uncultured bacterium
Lineage: Bacteria
Description: partial 16S ribosomal RNA
Rfam family: Bacterial small subunit ribosomal RNA
Source: RNAcentral